AAAACUUAUAGUUGCUAAUGACAACAAUAAGGCUCCGGUCGCUCUCGCCGCGUAAGCGGUGCGAGAACUGGGAAUUGAAGUCCUACGCUCCUAGCCGGGCAUAGGCGGGGUCCGCAGGCACCUGGCAACAGAAGCCUGCAUU
Molecule: transfer-messenger RNA, 142 nt
Filed under: Hyphomicrobiales bacterium
Lineage: Bacteria; Pseudomonadati; Pseudomonadota; Alphaproteobacteria; Hyphomicrobiales
Description: Rhizobiales bacterium partial transfer-messenger RNA
Rfam family: Alphaproteobacteria transfer-messenger RNA
About the family: Bacterial tmRNA, also known as 10Sa RNA or SsrA, is named for its dual tRNA and mRNA-like properties. Its role is to liberate the mRNA from a stalled ribosome. To accomplish this part of the tmRNA is used as a reading frame that ends in a translation stop signal.
Source: RNAcentral